RNAcentral lists this ribosomal RNA (376 nucleotides) under uncultured bacterium. RNAcentral describes it as "bacterial SSU rRNA". It matches the Rfam family "Bacterial small subunit ribosomal RNA", at positions 30 to 402 of the family's 1533-position model. The record is from RNAcentral.
AUUGAACGCUGGCGGCAUGCCUUACACAUGCAAGUCGAACGGCAGCACGGGAGCAAUCCUGGUGGCGAGUGGCGAACGGGUGAGUAAUAUAUCGGAACGUGCCCAGUCGUGGGGAUAACGUAGCGAAAGCUACGCUAAUACCGCAUACGAUCUAUGGAUGAAAGCGGGGGAUCGCAAGAGCCUCGCGCGAUUGGAGCGGCCGAUAUCAGAUUAGGUAGUUGGUGGGGGUAAAGGCUCACCAAAGCCAACGAUCUGUAGCUGGUCUGAGAGGACGACCAGCCACACUGGAACUGAGACACGGCCCAGACUCCUACGGGAGGCAGCAGUGGGGAAUUUUUGGGACAAUGGGCGCAAGCCUGAUCCAGCAAUGCCGCGU